CAAGUUCCUUCGCAAAUACGUUAUGAGUUGGUAAUAUGUCUUGGCAACCACUUAUGUUUGCUUCGGUUCCCUGCAGGUCACCCUUGGGUUCGGGAUGAUGGGGUGGCUCCAGAUAAGCCUCUAGGUUCUGCAGUUUUAAGUAGCUUGAAGCAGUUUUCUGCAAUGAACAAGCUUAAGAAAAUGGCUCUUAGGAUUAUUGCUGAGAAUCUGUCCGAAGAAGAAAUUGCUGGGUUAACAGAAAUGUUUAAGACGAUAGACACAGAUGGUAGUGGUCAAAUUACUUUCGGAGAACUCAAAGUGGGACUCAGAACCUUUGGUGCUAAUCUCAAUGAGUCUGAAAUCUAUGAUCUAAUGCAGGCGGCUGAUAUUGAUAACAGUGGGACAAUAGAUUAUGGGGAGUUCAUAGCUGCCACAGUGCAUCUAAACAAAGUUGAAAGAGAAGAUCACCUAUUUGCAGCUUUCUCAUACUUUGACAGAGAUGGAAGUGGCUUUAUCACUCUAGAUGACCUGCAACAAGCUUGUUUUGAAUUCGGCAUGGACGACUUUCACUUGGAAGAAAUGAUGAGAGAAGUUGAUCAGGAUAAUGAUGGUCGGAUAGACUACAAUGAGUUUGUGGACAUGAUGCAAAAAGGGAAUACUGAAAUGAGUAAGAAUGAUAUUCAUCAGGGUAGAAGUUUUAGCUUUGGUUUUAGGGAGGCACUACAAGUUUGUUGAUUUAAGUAGUGAGUUUUUCUCUCUCUUUUUCCUUUUUU
RNAcentral lists this unclassified non-coding RNA (752 nucleotides) under Hevea brasiliensis (rubber tree). Lineage: Eukaryota; Viridiplantae; Streptophyta; Magnoliopsida; Malpighiales; Euphorbiaceae. The record is from RNAcentral.